GGAAUAUUGGACAAUGGGCGCAAGCCUGAUCCAGCCAUGCCGCGUGUGUGAAGAAGGCCUUCGGGUUGUAAAGCACUUUCAGUGGUGAGGAAAGGUGUUCGGUUAAUACCCGGAUACUGUGACGUUAGCCACCGAAGACGCACCGGCUAACUCCGUGCCAGCAGCCGCGGUAAUACGGAGGGUGCGAGCGUUAAGCGGAAUAACUGGGCGUAAAGCGCGCGUAGGUGGUUGAGUCAGUCAGAUGUGAAAGCCCCGGGCUUAACCUGGGACCUGCACCUGAUACUGCUUGACUAGAGUACGGUAGAGGGCAGUGGAAUUUCCUGUGUAGCGGUGAAAUGCGUAGAUAUAGGAAGGAACACCAGUGGCGAAGGCGACUGCCUGGACCGAUACUGACACUGAGGUGCGAAAGCGUGGGUAGCA
Molecule: ribosomal RNA, 420 nt
Filed under: uncultured bacterium
Lineage: Bacteria
Description: bacterial SSU rRNA
Rfam family: Bacterial small subunit ribosomal RNA
Source: RNAcentral